Molecule: unclassified non-coding RNA, 173 nt
Filed under: rhizosphere metagenome
Description: partial ribosomal RNA internal transcribed spacer region
Source: RNAcentral
GAGUUCAUGCCCAAAAGGGUAGACCUCCCACCCUUGUGUAUUAUUACUUUGUUGCUUUGGCGAGCUGCCUUCGGGCCUUGUAUGCUCGCCAGAGAAUAUCAAAACUCUUUUUAUUUAUGUCGUCUGAGUACUAUAUAAUAGUUAAAACUUUCAACAACGGAUUUCCUGGUUCU